GACUGGUUCGCUCAGCUGGUAGAGCACUUCACUGAAAGCUAAGAGGUGCCUGGUUUCAAACCAGAACCAGGCG
This 73-nucleotide transfer RNA is filed under the name Ixodes scapularis (black-legged tick). Its description in RNAcentral is "tRNA-Phe". The record is from RNAcentral. Lineage: Eukaryota; Metazoa; Arthropoda; Arachnida; Ixodida; Ixodidae.